RNAcentral lists this ribosomal RNA (254 nucleotides) under uncultured bacterium. RNAcentral's name for it is "partial 16S ribosomal RNA". It matches the Rfam family "Bacterial small subunit ribosomal RNA", at positions 524 to 777 of the family's 1533-position model. The record is from RNAcentral.
UACGAAGGGUGCAAGCGUUAAUCGGAAUUACUGGGCGUAAAGGGUGCGUAGGCGGUUAUUUAAGUCUGCCGUGAAAUCCCCGGGCUCAACCUGGGAAUGGCGGUGGAUACUGGAUAGCUAGAGUGUGUCAGAGGAUGGUGGAAUUCCCGGUGUAGCGGUGAAAUGCGUAGAGAUCGGGAGGAACAUCAGUGGCGAAGGCGGCCAUCUGGGACAACACUGACGCUGAAGCACGAAAGCGUGGGGAGCAAACAGGG